ACGCUGGCGGCGUGCUUAACACAUGCAAGUCGAACGGUGAAGAGGAGCUUGCUCCUUGGAUCAGUGGCGAACGGGUGAGUAACACGUGAGUAACCUGCCCCAAACUCUGGGAUAAGCACUGGAAACGGUGUCUAAUACCGGAUACGAGCUUCAGCCGCAUGGCUAGGAGUUGGAAAGAAUUUCGGUUUGGGAUGGACUCGCGGCCUAUCAGCUAGUUGGUGAGGUAAUGGCUCACCAAGGCGACGACGGGUAGCCGGCCUGAGAGGGUGACCGGCCACACUGGGACUGAGACACGGCCCAGACUCCUACGGGAGGCAGCAGUGGGGAAUAUUGCACAAUGGGCGCAAGCCUGAUGCAGCAACGCCGCGUGAGGGACGACGGCCUUCGGGUUGUAAACCUCUUUUAGUAGGGAAGAAGCGAAAGUGACGGUACCUGCAGAAAAAGCACCGGCUAACUACGUGCCAGCAGCCGCGGUAAUACGUAGGGUGCAAGCGUUGUCCGGAAUUAUUGGGCGUAAAGAGCUCGUAGGCGGUUUGUCGCGUCUGCUGUGAAAACCCGAGGCUCAACCUCGGGCCUGCAGUGGGUACGGGCAGACUAGAGUGCGGUAGGGGAGAUUGGAAUUCCUGGUGUAGCGGUGGAAUGCGCAGAUAUCAGGAGGAACACCAAUGGCGAAGGCAGAUCUCUGGGCCGUAACUGACGCUGAGGAGCGAAAGCAUGGGGAGCGAAC
This 727-nucleotide ribosomal RNA is filed under the name uncultured bacterium. Its description in RNAcentral is "bacterial SSU rRNA". It matches the Rfam family "Bacterial small subunit ribosomal RNA", at positions 33 to 773 of the family's 1533-position model. The record is from RNAcentral.